AUUUGGAACGAAGACUUUUGAUGAAUUAGGCUAGCCUGUGGUUACUUAGCAAGCAAAUUUCUUCACAGUGUCCCAAGCUAGAGCAAAUGGUGGCUCUUAACCGUCGCCCAGCCUCUGUGCCUGUAGGCUGCUGGCACUGAAUUGGGUCGCACAAUG
Molecule: small nucleolar RNA, 156 nt
Filed under: Neotoma lepida (desert woodrat)
Lineage: Eukaryota; Metazoa; Chordata; Mammalia; Rodentia; Cricetidae
Description: Small nucleolar RNA SNORA42/SNORA80 family
Rfam family: Small nucleolar RNA SNORA42/SNORA80 family (bases 30-156)
About the family: The members of this family belong to the H/ACA class of snoRNAs that guide the sites of modification of uridines to pseudouridines. Human ACA42 (SNORA42) was cloned from HeLa cells by immunoprecipitation with anti-GAR1 antibody.
Source: Rfam by way of RNAcentral